Molecule: transfer RNA, 66 nt
Filed under: Neotoma lepida (desert woodrat)
Lineage: Eukaryota; Metazoa; Chordata; Mammalia; Rodentia; Cricetidae
Rfam family: tRNA
About the family: Transfer RNA (tRNA) molecules are approximately 80 nucleotides in length.
Source: Rfam by way of RNAcentral
GGAGAGAUGGCUCAGUGGUUAAGAGCAUUUGUCUUGCAAAAGACCUGGGUUUGCUUCCUAGCUCCC